CUACCGUGAGAUGUGCUGCAAAUGAAGAAUUCACAUUUGCCAAAAAGAAAUUAUUCUUAGGUAUUUGAAGAGCAAGAUAAGCCCAAUGAAGACAACUCCAAGAAUGGAAUAUGCUGCACUCAAGGACUUCAUUCUUCUGACAGAUAGUGUUCCCAUCUCAGAAACCCACAUCAUCAGUUGGCCAAGGAGGUUCCAGUACAGAUCACGUUCCCCCUCAUUGAACAGUGCUCUUGGCCUCUUCCUCAUGGAAAUGUCCUCUCCUUUUGCAACUACAACAAUCAUGGAGAAUUAAAUUCAGAACUAAAAUCAAGUAUUUUCUCACAGUUUUUAAAAUGAAAGAUGAGCAUUUUUAUACUGAUUUUAAUUACAGCUGCAGCCUCAGCAGCCCCACUCUCUGCUUCCCUCAG
RNAcentral lists this long non-coding RNA (407 nucleotides) under Parus major (Great Tit). Its description in RNAcentral is "lncRNA (ENSPMJG00000004262.1)". Lineage: Eukaryota; Metazoa; Chordata; Aves; Passeriformes; Paridae. The record is from RNAcentral.